This 1371-nucleotide unclassified non-coding RNA is filed under the name Hevea brasiliensis (rubber tree). Lineage: Eukaryota; Viridiplantae; Streptophyta; Magnoliopsida; Malpighiales; Euphorbiaceae. The record is from RNAcentral.
UUUUUUUUUUUUUUUUUUGAGUAGGGAGAUAGGGGGGAGGGACUCGAACCUAAGUCUAACAAGUGAGUAAUAUGCCUUCAAGCUAGGCAACAAUAAUAAUGAUAUUUAUGAUGCAAAAACUUGGCUUUAGAUUACUGCCAAGUCAAAUUUAAUCCUAGAUAAUCUGUCCCAAUUUUUGCCAAGCCUAUGUAUAACACUUUACUAGAACUUACAAGUGAAUAUUGGUGAAAAAGAUGCACAGCAGAGAGGCUCUUAGUGCAGAAGAUUUGAUUGAUCACUUCCUCUUCAAUGUAAGACUACAGAACCCCCAUAUAGAAAUGAAGAAUUCCAACAUUUAUCACACAAUGCAAAAUUUCAUCUUGAGCUUUCGCCAGCACAUUUUAUCUGCAGGGCAGCUCUAACAACAUUUUCCCUUGUAAUAAUUCCAACCAGCUUGCCAUCACCAUCUACCACUGGAAGUCUAUGAUACUUUGUGUCAAGCAACAACCUAAUAUUAGAAGGAUUUGAGUAAGGUAUGAUUUCCAAUUUCAUAAGCAAGAAAAAAGCUGCAGCAACUUAGCAUGCAUUAUAUGCAAAGAUCAGCAUGCUUUUAGAUCUUCCAUUAGUUAUGAACGUCAAAUGCUGUAUGUUGUGGUGUUGAAUUUUAUAAUACCUAGCAGCGUCCUCUAGAAUGGUGGUUUCAUUAAUGACAAGAGGAGCAGGUGUCAUCAGAUCACCAACAACUUCACCAUUGUUCUUAGUAAGUAGUUUCUGCAUCUCAUUGAAUGUUUGCAAUAUUUAUCCAUAAUCAGAUAAGUAAUUAGCAUAAAAUAAUUUUCCACAACAAGUUACAAAGAGGACAUAUGUUGCAGGGACAAAAAAAAAAAUGAACAGCAAAACAGAGAGCAUAACAUGACUGCCUAAACUCUAGAAUAGAAAUUUGCAAUUCCAGUAAUUAAUUUCUUACUCAGCAAAAUUUAUCUCAAUAGUCACCGACAUGGAAAGGAAGCAAGGAAGCACUAAAGUGAAGAUAUGCAAGGCCUUUUUAAGUAAAAAAUGAGCCAAAAUGGAAAUUUCAACGACCAUAACAUGUAGAUUGAAAGUUUAAUUAGAAAAACUUGGGCACGAUCAUUUUAAGAAGGGUGUUGAGGCUAUCAGCUUUCAGUUGACGGUUUUUCUUUUCGAGUACAAACUUGGAAUAGAAAGCAAACAGUAUUACCAAUAUAGAAGACCAUGUGUAGUAUUGGAUCAGAUUUCCUUGAACCAGAAUGAGAGUAAGCAUAGGAUCAAAUAUUCCUCUUUAUGAUACUUUAAGUAUAUCAAAUCUUAUUUUAGGACUGAUUUUCUCCAAUCAAUGGCCAUUGAUAAUGUAACAUCCUCCCGGUAGCAACU